UCAUCGGCGACUCGGGCGCAGGGCUGCAGCUGGCAGAGGUCUUGGGAGUGCUUUCUGUAAUGAAAGAACACGAAAGGCUGAAAAUAGCCGUCUUUCACCAUGAGCAUUACUUUCCUCACCCAGGAAACACAUUCAACGCCUGUGCAAGAAGACAGCAUGGCGGGCCACUGGGUCUAUGGCCUGAGAGAAACUUCAUCUUCUGCAUUAAAAAAUGAAAAAACAAACGAACGAACAAGAACCCUGAAAACCGCAACAGAAGAAAAACUAGAGGUUUGAACAAAAGGGAUCUGAAGGCUUAAGACAAGGGCAUCCUGUUGCGAAAGUGCUGUCGUAUUAACCACGGGCCAUCACGGUCAUGAUGUCUUCCGGCGGGACCCCGUGAUUCCAGAAUUCAGAAGUCCCUCAGCUAAAUUAUAAUCUGCAUCUUAUAUUCUGUCCCUAAUUUUCAGAACAAAAUGAACGGGUGGAUUAUUUUAAAUGAGGGCGGCCCACGACGUGUGGUUAGGAAGGCCCCAGAAGAGGAGACCUAAGGCCUCGGCCACUGGCCCCAGGGGGGCCCCCCGCUCCGUGCUGAGUCCUGGGACUCCCUGUGGGUUCUUGCUGUGAUCCCAGAGGGCUCCACAGCACCCAGCCUGGAGGGGACCGACAGAAGAGAAGCACUCACUCUGCUCCCUGUCAAACCCCAGGGCGUGCUUCUGAAGGCCAAGCUCUGUCACACACGCUGGCACCGGGAGAUGGGGCCAGAGUGGCAGUCGGGUCUCCAUGCUCUCCCUUCUGUCCUGGUCCGGGUGCCCAGUAGGGAGCGCCAGCCCGUGCCACCCGUGAAACCCAGCCUCCGUCGGAGUCCUAGGAUGUCUGGAAUGAAGGCUUUGGCCAUUUCCUAAUUACCAAAUACACAGAAAGGCUGUGUCCGGGAGGAAAACGCAGAGUGAGAUAGCACUAAGGUCCUAUUCGAGGUAAAGUCAGCUGAUGGCUUGGUGUCUUGGGACAGGCUCCCUCUCGCCGCCUCCCAUCAAGCCUGGCACAUAGCAAGAGCCCAUGUGCCACGUGUGAGGGGCCAGGCCAGGUCCUGUCACUUGGGCUGUAUGGCCUCAGAGAGAUAAGUCUCAGGAAGCAGGCCCCUCAUGGGACAUCAGGGCACCUGGGUGGCCCCCAAAACACUCGCUACCUGAUUAGACAAAAUGUAACAUGGAGUAUUGACUGAAUUUCAAUUGGGCCAUAGAAGUGGAGUGUCCUUUGCUGGACACGUCACAUCCAAGAUAGCAACCUGGAUCAGACGCAGGAUAACGACCUAUUCUGAACUCAACAAGAUGGGAGAUGUAUUCUGAAUACAAGGGAUGUUUUGUGUAAAUACCUAGAAAAAAUCCCAAAUGAAACAACUUCAAUUCAACCAGUGAACCUGUUUAUCAUCCUAAACAGGACCAGGGUUCCACCAUCACAUAAACCUGUGUCCUCAACCUGGAAAUUCUGGUUUAAAAACAAACAAACAAACAAAAAACAACCCGCUGGUUUGUAGAAGAUGUAAAAGAGCUAGACGUAAACAGCAGAAAUGAUCCGUAUAAAUCUUGAAGGCAAUAUGAAUCCUACAAAUCGGAUUUCUUCUCUCUGCUCACCUCCGGGUCAUCGUACAACUGGAUAUAAAACCCAGCAAAUGUUAUUUUUGUUUCUGAAGCAGCAAAGAAAUUGUACUGUAAAUUUGCCCCGAUUCACCCAUGCGAGGGACCGAUGUGGCAGACCAUCCAUCUUGCUCACUGCAGACUGUCAAGGAUGGCAUGAAUCCCCACAUGAUAAACAGAUUCCUUCUCAGGUUUGUGUCCUGUAACCCACAGCAAGGUCAAAAGCAUGGCUGCCUGGCUAACAAACCGCACGGUGCCACCGCCUGGUGCUUCCCCUGUUUUGUCUGGUGCCGGCCGAGACCGAGCUCCCGAAUCACCGGACGGCGGUGCGUUUCUUUCUCGCAGGCGUUCCCGGCCAGUACUCGUGUGGAUUUUUGCCACGCAGAAGCCCUGAGAGAACCGGACAGAGGCACUGGCCGCACGUUACUGGCGUCCCUCUGCGCUCCCAACCAUGGCUGCAGACAAAGGCAAGGCCCUCAAGAUCACCCCCCACCCAACGCUGGGCCUGGAAAUGUACCGGGAAAGUGCCGCUGGGCGGGUUUGCAUUGGAUCUCCACUCUGUGUCGAAACUGCAACUGACAACUCGAAGCGGAGUGCUCUUUCCGGGGGACGACGAUUCACGGACCGACACGUGCACACACACGCCACUGUGCUCUCGGGUCACGGAAAGCAGAUUGGGCCCACGUGUUUGGCUAGGCACGGACAGAUGCAAUGGCAAAUGGCCCCGUGGGAGACGCCACAAAUCCUCACGCAGAGAGCAUCACGUUGGAAAGGGAGUCAUUUCUUUAGAAAGCUGUCCAGGAAGCCCUAUGCUCCAGCGGCCGGACCGGCACCACAGCGGCUAAUGAACCAGAACCAAGCCCGUUUUGGUGGGAGCACCACAGAGACAGGCUCUAGAGCCCCUGGCAAGGUGGCCCGGCCCCUGGGUGCAGGAAGGACAGGUGGUUGCCUGUCCUUGAUCAUCUUGACAGAAUAAGAAACGUUGUCAACAGAAAAGGAUGGUACUUUUUUUGUUCGUUUUCCCCCAAAUCACCAAAUGGAGGCCUCUGACUAAAACAAUACUUUUUUUGAGAGAGAGAGAGAGAGAGAGACAGAGCACGAGCAGGGGAGGGGCAAAGAGAGAGGGAGAUACAGAAUCCGAAGCAGCUCCGGGCUCUAGGCUGUCAGCACAGAGCCCGAAUCGGGGCUCGAGCCCACAAACCAGGAGAUCGUGACCUGAGCCGAAGUCGGAUGCUUCACCGACUGAGCCACCCAGGCGCCCCUAAACCAAUACUUUUUUGAAGGAAUAAGGCUUUCUUCCACUCCACGUAAUUACAAGUAAUUUAAAAAACAAAAAAAGGAAGAGUCCUGGGCUUGGCAUUAAGAUACGAACUUGGGGGUAGGGCUACCUCUGUUAGCCAGCUGUUUUAACAUGAGUGGGAUUCUCAACUUCUUGGAACACCCCGGUUUCCUCAUCUGGAAAAUGCAGACAGCGUUGUAGUGAGGAAUGAACCUGGCACAUGGUUGGUGCUAAGAAACAAAACCCAAGUUGGAUGUUCUGUUUUUUUUUUUUUUUCUUUUUCUUUUCAAAGCAGUUAUUAGGGGCAUCGAUCGGGCCGGCUCCUUUGGAAGAGCGCGUGACUCUUCAUCUUGGAAUUUUGAGUUCAAGCCCCACACUGGGUAUAGAGAUUACUUAGAAGUAAAAGCUUUAGGAAAAAAAAAAAAUAAAAGCAGUGAUUAAAUUGUAUUGAAAUACAUUUGUUUACAUAAAGGGAACCUACAUUCAGUAUAAAUCUCCUCCUGAUUACUGCUGUUUCUUCCACAGUUCCUGGUGGAUACCAUGGAGAUAACAUUCUGGCAAAGGCUCUGGGCUAAGGCUCACGAGAAUGACCGACUGCACUCCUCGAAAGGACCAGAAGGGACAUCCAUGUUCCUCUUUUCACAGAUAUAAGACGUCACGUUCAGCGACACAGCUGGGAACCAGUCUGUAUUCAUAAUAGGCCACCUAUAUAGUGGGGCCAUGCCUGCACCCGCGUGUCCUUUCGUGGCAGAAGAACCGGGCCUGCCUUCCAGGACACAGUUGCUCUGCGAUCCGUGUCAACAUGUGCGAGUCUCAGAAACAUGGCGGUCAGGGCCAAAAAGCCAACCCACUACUGGGGUGAGGGAAGGGAACCAAAAUGUAAUUAGCAGCGAGAGAAGGGUGUUUACACCCGGCUGCAUCAAAUUCUCCUGAUGGCCCCGCGAUGGGAAUAUAAAUCCUGCAACUCCAGGUAGGGAAACUGAGGCUCAGACCGACAACAUGAGUUGUCCAGACCACGUUGGAUGGAGAAGGAUCCGAACCAGAUUGAGAGUAGAAACUCUCCACAUUUCCACUGUCCUUUGUCUGGCAAUUACGGAAAUAUAAGCAUAGGCAUGCUUUCA
Molecule: long non-coding RNA, 4016 nt
Organism: Felis catus (domestic cat)
Lineage: Eukaryota; Metazoa; Chordata; Mammalia; Carnivora; Felidae
Exons: 2
Source: RefSeq, a predicted model, not a curated record